Callithrix jacchus (white-tufted-ear marmoset) is the source of this 61-nucleotide small nuclear RNA. Its record names the gene U7. It matches the Rfam family "U7 small nuclear RNA". Rfam says of the family: Animal histone pre-mRNAs are spliced by a different mechanism than nuclear pre-mRNAs and self-splicing introns. Lineage: Eukaryota; Metazoa; Chordata; Mammalia; Primates; Cebidae. The record is from Ensembl.
UAGUGUUACACUCUUUUAGAAUUUGCCUGGUAGGCUUUGCAGUUUUUACCAGAAAGCCCCU